RNAcentral lists this ribosomal RNA (428 nucleotides) under Chloroflexota bacterium. Its description in RNAcentral is "Chloroflexi bacterium partial 16S ribosomal RNA". It matches the Rfam family "Bacterial small subunit ribosomal RNA", at positions 355 to 776 of the family's 1533-position model. Lineage: Bacteria; Bacillati; Chloroflexota. The record is from RNAcentral.
UGGGGAAUAUUGCACAAUGGGCGCAAGCCUGAUGCAGCCAUGCCGCGUGUAUGAAGAAGGCCUUCGGGUUGUAAAGUACUUUCAGCGGGGAGGAAGGGAGUAAAGUUAAUACCUUUGCUCAUUGACGUUACCCGCAGAAGAAGCACCGGCUAACUCCGUGCCAGCAGCCGCGGUAAUACGGAGGGUGCAAGCGUUAAUCGGAAUUACUGGGCGUAAAGCGCACGCAGGCGGUUUGUUAAGUCAGAUGUGAAAUCCCCGGGCUCAACCUGGGAACUGCAUCUGAUACUGGCAAGCUUGAGUCUCGUAGAGGGGGGUAGAAUUCCAGGUGUAGCGGUGAAAUGCGUAGAGAUCUGGAGGAAUACCGGUGGCGAGGCGGCCCCCUGGACGAAGACUGACGCUCAGGUGCGAAAGCGUGGGGAGCAAACAGG